UACGUAGGAGGCGAGCGUUGUCCGGAAUCACUGGGUGUAAAGCGCGUGUAGGCGGCCUGCCAAGUCUGCUGUGAAAGCGCCUGGCUUAACCGAGCGAGGUCGGUGGAAACUGGCGGGCUGGAGGACGGUAGAGGGGGGUGGAAUUCCCGGUGUAGUGGUGAAAUGCGUAGAUAUCGAGAGGAACACCGAUGGCGAAGGCAGGUCUCUGGGCAUUAACUGACGCUGAGGAGCGAAAGCAUGGGGAGCGAACAGG
This 253-nucleotide ribosomal RNA is filed under the name uncultured bacterium. RNAcentral describes it as "partial 16S ribosomal RNA". It matches the Rfam family "Bacterial small subunit ribosomal RNA", at positions 524 to 776 of the family's 1533-position model. The record is from RNAcentral.